RNAcentral lists this long non-coding RNA (1631 nucleotides) under Mus musculus (house mouse). Its description in RNAcentral is "long non-coding RNA chr12:40455011-40456642". The record is from RNAcentral. Lineage: Eukaryota; Metazoa; Chordata; Mammalia; Rodentia; Muridae.
UUUUUUUUUUUUUUUUUUUUUUUUAAAUAAGUUAACCAAUGCAACUGUGAAGGGUCAACCCAAUGGCAAAUUAUCAUUCAAAGGCUUCAUCUUCAAAUACCAUGGCUUUCAGGAUUAGCAUCUGUGUAUGUUGACUUGAGGAUUGCAAGCAUACAGCACAUAUCAGAUGUCUUGGUUUCUGCUUAGGUGCCCUGAUGAAGAAGCGUCUCCUGUUCAGUAAAUGAGACUUUUUUUGUGUGUAGGCAAAGCAAGCUUAUAGUGUCUCUAGAAGGGGUUUUGUUUGGCCACAUUGAGUUUGAGAUACCUGUAAAGCACCACACCCCCCCCUCCUACCCUCCACCCCCAUCUUCUGGCCUCACUGGGCACCAGAUAAACACAUGGAACACAGACAGACAGACAUGCAAGCAAAAAUAAAGAAAAAUCAUUUUUAAAAUAUGUAAAAUUUGCAUUUGCAAACCAUACCAGAGUAAAACUGGGAGAAAACCAGGGAAGAAAAGCAAGCGGUGGUGCUGUUUUCUGCUUUCUAUUGCUAAGCAGGGUGCUUUCAAAGACUCGGUGACUGGGAGCUUUACAGGAGGACCAGUCAGGGCUUCUCACACACCAGCUUUGAGUUGAGCAGACAUAUUCAACAGGGAGGGUAUCCUUUCUGUUUGAGGCAUCCAUGGUAAUUCUCUUUCUACCCCAAUUUUUAAUUUCUGAGAUAUGACCCCUUCCAGAAAGAACUGGGAUGGGAAAGUGGGUGGGAGGGGAGAGGAAAGCAGUCUGAAGGGGAUGGAUGCUACUUUGUCAUUGAGACAUGAACUGUGGUCUUCAUGAGGAAAGUGAUUGAUUAUAAAGGUGGCCUUAAAAUGCUACAGUAACCAAGCUUAUGCCCCUUUUUUGGGUGCCUGUUGGUGAAAGAGAAAAAAGCAAUGGGGUAGGAGAUGACGUGCCCCCAAACAGGGGCACUGCAGUGGGGUAGGAGAUGACCUGCCCCCAAACAGGGGCACUGCAGUGGGGUAGGAGAUGACCUGCCCCAAACAGGGGCACGGCAGCAUGAUGACCAGUAAGUGGGAGCGAUGGAUUGGAGCUCUUCCACAUCAGCCAGCCUUUGAACAGACACCUGAAAACGGGAUGCACCAGGCUUUUAUUUUUAGCACCAUCCUUAGUUAGGGCUUAGGAUGAGGUUUAAGACUCAGGUUACCUUGGCUAGUGAUCAUAUUUGCAUCCUUUAGCUUGAAGAAGGAAAACCACUAAAUCUGAAAACAGGAAUCUGAUGCAAAGGGGUGAAUGACAACAUGGCGAGGAAAAAGGGAGAGCACGACAUUUACACGGGGCUUUUGACGACGAAGAGUAAUGCAUUCCAGUCUCUUGUGACUAUGCAGAGAGGAAAGGUAUCAGGGAGGGCCCUUAACAAGAACCUCCUUGGGAUAUUUGAACCCUUACCUUUGUGACCUCAGCAGUCAUAUCCCCCUAACUGGGCAACAUUUUUAUAAAUCAAGCAGCUAAUUGUUCAUUUUUUAUUUGAUUAUCGAUUGGACAUUGCCCUAAAAAUAUCUACCAGAAAUCUGGCAGAGAUGUAGUGAUUUGGUUCCAUGUUUUUAUUUAUUUCGAAUGAAAGAAUUCUACUUGUCAUUGGCAACAACAACAAC